AUUUUUUUGAAAUAAUUAAAAAUGAGUCCUGCUCAAUGUAAAAUAAAUGGCCGCAGUAUUUUGACUGUGCAAAGGUAGCAUAAUAAUUAGUCUUAUAAUUGAAGACUGGGAUGAAAGGAUAAACUAGAAAAGUUCUUUCUUAAUCUUUCUUUUAAAUUUUAUUUUUUAGUAAGAAGGCUAAAAUGUGUCUUUUAGACAAGAAGACCCUAUAAAACUUUACAUAGAAUAAUUUAAUAAAUUAAAAAAUAUGUUUUGCUGGGGCGGUAAAAAGAAAAACACUUUUAAAUUAUUACGAUAAUAUAAUCUCAAUACCCAAAAUUUUUGAAAAUUAAAUAAGCUACUUUAGGGAUAACAGCGUAAUAUGUUUUAAAAGCUCAAAUUGACAAACAUGUUUGCGACCUCGAUGUUGGAUUAGUUUUCCUUUACUAUGCAAGAGUAUUAAUAGGAGGUCUGUUCGACCUUUAAAGAACUCCA
This 474-nucleotide ribosomal RNA is filed under the name Centruroides luceorum. Its description in RNAcentral is "partial 16S ribosomal RNA". It matches the Rfam family "Archaeal large subunit ribosomal RNA", at positions 1908 to 2669 of the family's 2987-position model. Lineage: Eukaryota; Metazoa; Arthropoda; Arachnida; Scorpiones; Buthidae. The record is from RNAcentral.